Pristis pectinata (smalltooth sawfish) is the source of this 355-nucleotide long non-coding RNA. RefSeq lists it as uncharacterized. The record is from RefSeq and is a predicted model, not a curated record. The transcript is spliced from 3 exons. NCBI's taxonomy places the organism in Eukaryota, Metazoa, Chordata, Chondrichthyes, Rhinopristiformes, Pristidae.
GGAAAAUGCUGCUGGUAAACAUGGCACACAGCAUGCAGAGCAUCUAUACACAUGCCCAUUGCAAGGAUACCGCUCUUGGCAACUGAACGUAACGGGACAACCGAACGUAAUGGCCACAGGUGACAGAGCACAACGUCCUUGAAAGAGACGGUGACCUCCGGCCACCCAUGGUUUUACAAUUACCCAGAAGUGAUUCCCCUACAUUGAAAGGGACUUGAGGAGGGGGCGGAACCGAGUACAGACUUUUAUCGUCUCAACAUCUAGAAGUGCUUGUCCCAAGGAUAACAAUCAAGAGAAAAAUUGGGAACUGGAAGAAUCAUUAUGGACUACUCUCUGGGGUAUCACCAACCAAAAA